This 450-nucleotide ribosomal RNA is filed under the name uncultured bacterium. Its description in RNAcentral is "partial 16S ribosomal RNA". It matches the Rfam family "Bacterial small subunit ribosomal RNA", at positions 354 to 796 of the family's 1533-position model. The record is from RNAcentral.
GUGGGGAAUCUUCCGCAAUGGACGAAAGUCUGACGGAGCAACGCCGAGUGAGUGAUGAAGGUCUUCGGAUUGUAAAGCUCUGUUAAUCGGGACGAAAGAGCCUAGUGUGAAUAAUGCUAGGAAGUGACGGUACCGGAAUAGAAAGCCACGGCUAACUACGUGCCAGCAGCCGCGGUAAUACGUAGGUGGCAAGCGUUGUCCGGAAUUAUUGGGCGUCAAGCGCGCGCAGGCGGAUCUGCCAGUCUGUCUUAAAAGUUCGGGGCUUAACCCCGUGAUGGGAUGGAAACUACAGAUCUAGAGUAUCGGAGAGGAAAGUGGAAUUCCUAGUGUAGCGGUGAAAUGCGUAGAUAUUAGGAAGAACACCAGUGGCGAAGGCGACUUUCUGGACGAAAACUGACGCUGAGGCGCGAAAGCCAGGGGAGCGAACGGGAUUAGAUACCCGAGUAGUCC